CAAUGGGCGAAAGCCUGAUGCAGCGACGCCGCGUGGGGGAUGACGGCCUUCGGGUUGUAAACCUCUUUCAGUAGGGACGAAGCGCAAGUGACGGUACCUAUAGAAGAAGGACCGGCCAACUACGUGCCAGCAGCCGCGGUAAUACGUAGGGUCCGAGCGUUGUCCGGAAUUACUGGGCGUAAAGCGUCUGUAGGCGGUUUAAAUAGUGAGAUGUUAAAUGUCGAAGCUCAACUUCGUCACCGCAUCUCAAACGUUUAGACUAGAGCAUAUGAGAGGCUGAUGGAACUUGUGGUGUAGCGGUGAAAUGCGUUGAUACCACAAGGAACACCAAAGGCGAAGGCAUUCAGCUGGAAUAUUGCUGACGCUGAGAGACGAAAGCGUGGGGAGCAAAAAGGAUUAGAUACCCGGGUAGUCCAAGCCG
Molecule: ribosomal RNA, 421 nt
Filed under: uncultured bacterium
Lineage: Bacteria
Description: bacterial SSU rRNA
Rfam family: Bacterial small subunit ribosomal RNA
Source: RNAcentral